CCUCUCUUCCAGGGCAUGUGUAGCAUGUACAUAUCUCUGAUAGGGUUUCAUGUAAAUUUGUCUCCUAGCUCUCUUGAUUAAAGAUGGAUAUCAGUGGGUUGGCAAAAACACUCCUGCCCCUGAGCACUCAGGCACACACACACACACACACACACACACACACACACACACACACACACACACACACACACACACACACACACCCUGACCCAGAGUAGCAACAAUGAUGACUGCAUCUGUGUACGAUCGUGUAAGUGGUUUGCACCAGAGGCCCACCCAGCACAUAACCCUUAUAGGUAUCAUGCAAUUUUUAAUUCACUAAAAAAAACACCUGAGACUGUCUCUCUGUCUCUCCAUAUGAAGAACAGAUAGCAUUUGCACUAGAGAUAGAGACCAGCACAGCACACAACCUUAUAGCUAUAGCUACAGUACUGAAGCCACAACUAGAACAAAUCCUCUAUGACGGUCUCCUUCUCUCUCUCUCUCUCUCUCUCUGCCUAAUUAUGAUUAUGAAGCACGUUGAAGUUAGCCAGCUAAACUAUAUCAUACAUCACCCAAUUUAGCUGCUUAGUUACAGGACAAAGAUACGAACAAUGAGUGGGUGAGUUGGCUUUGGAGCUCGAUUCUCUUUUAGUCUAAUUGGAUGUUUUCUAGAAGCUCUAUACAUAUAUCUCUGUCAGGGCAAAUGUUGUGUUGGACUCCAGAAUCUCUGUGGUUUCCUUCAGGUCCUAAUUUGGACCUCUUUCUCCAGAUUAAAUGUGUGUGUUUUUUCAGUUGAUCUCCCUCUCUCUUUCUCUGUUUCUAAUUUUGUCUUCUCUUUCUUUCUUUCUCCCUCUGUCUCCCCUUCAUUUGUGUCCCUCAUUGUUGUGAAUAGUGUGGUAAUUAAACAUGUGCCUCCUCCUUCAGUUGAUCUGUCUUUCUCUAAGAGCUCAGAAACACACCAAUAGCGUUUUCUGGCCGAGACUACUGAGCACCUCUGAACCUAACCGAGUGAGCACUGAUUUUACAUGUAGAAUCCCUUGAACAUUGUGUCUACAGAUGGUGGUCCCUAAAACACAGAGGUGCUGAAAGAUCGGCAGAUAAACGUUAGAUCCACAUUCGGUGCCAGCUUUUACUGUUGCUCUCUCUCUCUCUCUCUCUCUCUCUCUCUCUCUCUCUCUCUCUCUCUCUCUCUCUCUCUACCGCUCACUUUCUUUCUCCCUCUGUUCUCUUUCACCUCUCUCUCUUUCUUUCUCUGCCCCUCUCGUUCUCUCUUCCUCUAUUCUGAACUCUUUCUCUCUCUCUUUCCCUCUCUCUCCAACCUCUUUUUCUGUUCCACUCUCUCUCCUCCCCUCUUCAUUUGGAUCCCUCAUGGGAGUGACAGAGAUGAAACGUGUGCCUCCUCUAGUUAAUCAAUAGACUGCAGUCUGAGAAAGCUGCGCCCUUUAGUCUCUCGGUAGACUGUCAGCAUCGUUUGAGCAUAACCAUCUAGGGCUAAGUGUGGUGAGCUGUACGGAACUGGUUUAAAGUGGUUUGGUGAACCCGCUCCCAAGAAGACUAGUGUUUUGGUGAACCCACUCCCUUAGCAUCUAGGCUUUAGCUUAGCAAGUUAAUGCAGACUUUUGUUUAAACCUUGAAAUAUAAUUACUGUAUUUCUAUCUGGACUGAUCGAUUAUACCGAUUAUACAGAUUAUACAGAUUAUACAGAUUAGACCAAUUAUACCGAUUAUACAGAUUAUACAGAUUAUACAGAUUAUACAGAUUAGACCAAUUAUACAGAUUAUACAGAUUAUACAGAUUAGACCAAUUAUACAGAUUAUACCGAUUAGACCAAUUAUACAGAUUAUACCAAUUAUACAGAUUAUACCGAUUAGACCAAUUAUACAGAUUAUACCGAUUAGACCAAUUAUACAGAUUAUACCGAUUAGACCAAUUAUACCGAUUAGACCAAUUAUACCGAUUAGACCGAUUAUACAGAUUAUACAGAUUAUACAGAUUAUACAGAUUAUACAGAUUAGACCGAUUAUACAGAUUAUACCGAUUAGACCGAUUAUACAGAUUAGACCGAUUAUACAGAUUAGACCGAUGUUUACACAAAAACAGUGUAGAGAAAAUAGUGGUCAUGUAAUGGGAGUCCCUGAAGCGGCUCUGAAGUGGAAGUUUGGAUUUUUUUUCUCGUCCAGCCAUCAAAGGCCGUCAUUAUCCCCACAGGCCUGGGUGGCAGACUGAACGGCUCUCUGGCUCUCAUUUCAGGUGUGGCUCUCUGUUCCUCCACUAGAAACCAUGGGGUGGGGGAGGCAGGACCACUGACUCUACACACUGACUGAAUACUGAUGAAGCUGGGGAGGCCGAGUAUGUACGCAUACACAGACACACACACACAGGCACGUAGGCAGACACAGUUCUUAUGUGACCAGCUCUUGCCCAAAGCAAACCUCUUCACUAGCCAAAUAUUAUAUUUCACUCAGUGAAAACGAGAAAACCCUGUCAGUAUCGUAACAUUCUCACAGUAGAGGCAACUAGCUAAAUGUGUGUGUGUGUGUGUGUGUGUGUGUGUGUGUGUGCGUGCGUGCGUGCGUGUGUGUGUGGUGUCAGUAUGUACCUUGCCAGCACCAUAAAAGUCUCCCAGUGCAACGACAGCUAGCUAGAGACAACACUAGAAUUACAAAACACUUUGAGGGACUGCUGCAGACCGGGGGGGUUGGAGGGGCGUGUAGAGUUUACAGUGAAUGUAUCUUUAAUGCCAUAUACCUACCAUUACUGUUUAUCUACUCACAGCAGACACAAGACAGACCAAACUGAUCGUGUUUACGGUUUCUGACAUUCAGUUGCCAUGCAGCAAGUGUCAAAAUCAACUGCCUGAAAGUGAAAUCUAACCACUUCUGUUUAGGGAAGAGGAAGAGGAGGAGGAUGAGGAGGAGGAGGAUGCGGAGGAUGAGGAGGAGGAGGAUGAGGAGGAGGAGGAGGAUGAGGAGGAGGAGGAAGCUGAGGAGGAUGAAGAGGCUGAGGAGGAGGAUGAGGAGGAGGAAGGGGAGGGAUGCCAUAUUAUCAUAAAUUAGGAUUGGCAUUCAUGACAGUCACUUAAAAGAUAAUCAAGCAAAUAAAAAAAACUGCUUCAGGUGUUCUCAAAGACUGGAAUGACUCAGAGAUAAUCCACUUGCAGAAUAUUUAUUUAUUUACUUGUUUAUUUAUCCCCCACCACAAAUCAAGAGCGUUUGACUUGUUUAUGUUACUUAGAAGAGGCAUAAUGAUGUCAGAACCCAAACAAGGCAAGUAAAUACGAUGAAGAGGAAGUACUGUGUGUGUGUGUGUGUGUGUGCGUGUGUGUGUGUGUGCGUGUGUGUGCGUGUGUGUGCGUGUGUGUAUGUUUAUAGCAUGGUGUAAUAUGCUCUUCCCUUUACUCUCGUCACUUCCUGUCACUUCCUGUUAAAUGCGGAACGAGGGACAGCUCGGUUUGCUGUUUUGGAGAGUUUGCUGUUUUAAAAGUGUAUUGGAAAGUUUCUUUGUAGCUAGAAAACCUUUUAGUUUGGAUCCCGCGACGCAUUUGGCAUCUGUUGCUAGGUCUGCUACUCUCUGUCCAGUGAUCCUGCCGACCAAGGCUGGGUCUGAGGAGUUAUUUGGCCUAGCAGCUAACCUAGUCAUUGAGAGAGGACAUCAGUUCUAUGUGUGAUUUUUGUAAAGUCAGUGUGGGAGAGAUGGAAAAAUGAUUGUUAUCGAUCAAUAAUGACAAACCUCCUGGCAUUGACAACGUAGAUGGAAAGCUACUGAGGAUGAUAGCUGACUCUAUAGCCACUCCUAUCGGUCAUAUCUUUAAUCUGAGUCUAGGGGAAAGUAUUUGUCCUCAGGCCUGGAGGGAAGCCUAAGUCAUUCCGUAAAAGUACAAUUGUGUUGCUAUUUUUCUGUAAACAAAUUAACAACAGACUUUAAGCAUGCCUAUAUAGAAGGGCACUCAACAUGUACUGCACUGACACAAAUGACUGAUGAUUGGUUGAAAGAACUUGAUAAUAAGAAGAUUGUGGGAGCUGUAGUGUUAGAUUUCAGUGCAGCCUUUGAUAUUAUUAACCAUAACAUGUUGUUGAAAAAAAUGUACAUGUUUUGGCUUUUCAGCCUCUGCCAUAUCGUGGAUUCAGAGCUAUCUAUCUAAUAGAACGCAAAGGUGUUUCUUUAAAUGGAUGCUUCUCUAAUGUCAAAUGUAAAGUGCGGUGUACCGCAGUGCAGCUCUCUAGGCCCUCUACUCUUUUAUAUUUUUACCAAUGACCUGCCACUGACAUUAAAGAAAGUCUGUGUGUCCAUGUAUGCUGAUGAUUCAACCAUAUAUACGAAUCAGCAACCACGGCUAAGUCACCGAAACACUUAACAAAGAAUUGCAGUCUGUUUUGGAAUGGGUGGCCAGUAAUAAACUGGUCCUGAACAUCUCUAAAACUAAGAGCAUUGUAUUUGGUACAAAUCAUUCCCUAAGUUCUAGACCUCAGCUGAAUCUGGUAAUGAAUGGUGUGUCUGUUGAACAAGUUGAGGAGACUAAAUGACUUGGCUUUACCUUAGAUUGUAAACUGUCAUGGUCAAAACAUAUAGAUUCAAUGGUUGUAAAGAUGGGGAGAGGUCUGUCCGUAAUACAGAGAUGCUCUGCUUUUCUGACACCACACUCCACAAAGCAAGUCCUGCAAGCAUAUGGCUCAAGUGAACAGCAAACCUGGUUUAAAAAAACAGAUAAACUAACACCCCACGGCACACCACCUCUCCCCUGUUUGACCUAGAUAGUUUGUGUGUAUGUAUUGAUAUGUAGGCAGCGUGUGCCUUUUUAAAAUUAAUUUAUGUAGUUCUGUCCUUGGGCUGUUCUUGUCUAUUUUAAUGUUCUGUAUGAUUUCAUGUUUCCUGUUCUGUGUUGGACCCCCAGGAAGAUUAGCUGCUGAUUUUGCAACAGCUAAUGGAGAUCCUAAUAAAAUAGCAUCAUGGUAUCCAGUUCCAGUGCCCAUAUACUGUACAUUAUCACACAGUAUACUGUACAUUAUCACACAGUAUACUGUACAUUAUCACACAUUAUACUGUACAUUAUCACACAUUAUACUUUACAUGAUCACACAGUAUACUGUACAUUAUCACACAUUAUACUGUACAUUAUCGCACAGUAUACUGUACAUUAUCACACAGUAUACUGUACAUUAUGACAGUCAUAACAUAACAGAGAAUAAGACACAUUAUACUGUACAUUAUCACACAGUAUACUGUACAUUAUCACACAGUAUACUGUACAUUAUCACACAGUAUACUGUACAUUAUGACAGUCAUAACAUAACAGAGAAUAAGACACAUUAUACUGUACAUUAUGACACAUUAUACAUUACAUACAUAUGUUAGUUCUCUAAUACUUUAGAAAGUUGCUGACCACUGCCAUGUGGUGCUGAACGUCGAGCUCUGAUUCGCUGUCCGCUUCAGCGGUGCUGAAUGUUGAGCUCUGAUUCGCUGUCCUCUUCAGCGGUGCUGAUUUUUAUUUUUACCUUUAUUUAACUAGGCUGGUCAGUUAAGAACAAAUUCUUAUUUUCAAUGACGGCCUAGGAACAGUGGGUUUAACUGCCUGUUCAGGGGCAGAACGACAGAUUUGUACCUUGUCAGCUCGGAGGUUUGAACUUGCAACCUUCCGGGUUACUAGUCCAACGCUCUAACCACAAGGCUACCCUGCCGCCCCUACACUCUAACCACUAGGCUACCCUGCCGCCUCUACACUCUAACCACUAGACUACCCUGCUGCCUCUACACUCUAACCACUAGGCUACCCUGCCGCCUCUACACUCUAACCACUAGGCUACCCUGCCGCCUCUACACUCUAACCACUAGGCUACCCUGCCGCCUCUACACUCUAACCACUAGACUACCCUGCCGCCUCUACACUCUAACCACUAGACUACCCUGCCGCCUCUACACUCUAACCACUAGGCUACCCUGCAGCCCCUACACUCUAACCACUAGACUACCCUGCCGCCUCUACACUCUAACCACUAGGCUACCCUGCCGCCUCUACACUCUAACCACUAGGCUACCCUGCCGCCUCUACACUCUAACCACUAGGCUACCCUGCUGCCUCUACACUCUAACCACUAGACUACCCUGCCGCCUCUACACUCUAACCACUAGACUACCCUGCCGCCUCUACACUCUAACCACUAGGCUACACUGCCGCUGAACGUUGAGCUCUGAUUCGCUGUCCGCUUUAGCGGCGCUGAAUCUCUGAACACCAGACUGAUUUUACCUAAAGCAAAAGUAGACCUUUUCCUCGUCUGAUGAAGUCCCCACAAUGUAUUCAAUAUAAAGCAUUUGCCCCUUGUCCAUCUGUUCAAUAGUGUAGGUGUAGAACACAACCAGCUGACUCACUAAACAGGAACAAGGAACAAGGAACAAGGCUCUAUCUCAAAUAAUCUUUCCUUGAUUCAUCGUAUCCUAUUUCCUUCCUAGCCUCCUCCUCAACCAUAGUGGUUGGACAUCAUCCACCUCCUGUAAUGACAUCAUCCACCUCCUGUGAUGACAUCAUCCAUGUGAGCCCAGAGCCUCAUCCCCCAGCUGCCAUAAAGUUGAAUAAAGCCUAAAUAAAAUAGAGUUUUCACACAACGGUGUUCAUUUGCAUAAAGCCAUGCUUGGUUUUCACUGACCUCCCUUCUCUCUCUCUUUGUCCCCCCACUCUCUCCAUCUCAGUCAAAAGCUCAAUCUCUCUCUCCUUCUCAGUCUCUCUCUCUCUGUUUCUCUCCCUCUCUCCUUCUCAGUCUCUCUCUCUCUGUUUCUCUCCCUCUCUCCUUCUUCAUCUCUCUCUCUGUUUCUCUCUCUCUCUCCUUCUCAGUCUCUCUCUCUGUUUCUCUCUCUCUCUCCUUCUCUGUCUCUCUCUCUCUGUUUCUCUCCCUCUCUCCUUCUCAGUCUCUCUCUCUCUGUUUCUCUCCCUCUCUCCUUCUCAGUCUCUCUCUCUCUGUUUCUCUCCCUCUCUCCUUCUCAGUCUCUCUCUCUGUUUCUCUCCCUCUCUCCUUCUUAGUCGCUCUCUCUCUGUUUCUCUCCCUCUCUCCUUCUCAGUCUCUCUCUCUCUGUUUCUCUCCCUCUCUCCUUCUUCGUCUCUCUCUCUGUUUCUCUCUCUCCUUCUCAGUCUCUCUCUCUGUUUCUCUCUCUCUCUCCUUCUUAGUCUCUCUCUCUCUGUUUCUCUCUCUCUCUGUUUCUUAGUCUCUCUCUCGCUCCCUGUCUUGUUCUCAGUCUGGGUAAUAGUGUCGUUAUAGUAGACAGGGGAGACCGGAGCGGAACUCAUUCACAGCUCUCUGAUGUCAUUAGAAAAUCAAUUCCCAACAAAUGACUUUUUUUGAAUUUCACAGCAGAGGUGUGACCCACAUUUGUCACAGUGCCGUCGACUGAUUUUCUCUCUCCCUCUGUCUCUCUCUCUCUCUCUCUCUCUCUCACUCUCUCUCUCUCUCUCUCUCUCUCACUCUCCCUCUCUCUCUCUCUCUCUCUCUCUCUCUCUCUCUCUCCCUCUCUCUCUCUCUCUCUCUCUCUCUCUCCCCUCCCUCCCUCUGUCUCUCUCCCUCCCUCUGUCUCUCUCCCUCUUUCUCUCUCUCUCUCACUCUCUCCCUCUCUCUCUCUCUCUCACUCUCUCCCCUGCCAAUCUCUGUCAGCAGCUUCCAUUGAUUGCUCCUCUUCUAUUUUGUCACCUGGCUUUUCAGCACGUCGACUGGUGUCUGGCCAGCUUGAUGGUCACUGACUGGUGUCUGGCCAGCCUGAUGGUCACUGACGGGUGUCUGGCCAGCUUGAUGGUCACUGACUGGUGUCUGGCCAGCUUGAUGGUCACUGACUGGUGUCUGGCCAGCUUGAUGGUCACUGACUGGUGUCUGGCCAGCCUGAUGGUCACUGACGGGUGUCUGGCCAGCAUGAUGCUCACUGUGAGGUCACUCUGUGCAUCCCAAAUGGCACCCUAUUCCCCAUGUAGUGCACUACUUCUGACUGGGGUCCAUAGACCUCGGGUCAAAAGUAGUGCACUAUAUAGGGAAUAGGGUGCCAUUUGCAACCCCUCCAUUUGGGAUGUGAACAUUGACGUUGAGCGUCCCAUGGUGACUCUGCUGUGCUGUACAGUAGCAGCUGGAUAGUUUCAUCCAGUACUAGACUGGGACCUGUCUCUGUGCCAACACCAAACAUUACCAUGGUAACAAGAUAAGCACUAUAACAACAGUGACAUUGUUGGUACCCUUUCUGCUGAGACUGUAUAGGAAGAUGGAGUGAGAGAGAGUGUGUUUACCAGUAUUCAGCCUUUGGACAAAGAACUGUUACAGUACAUUUAUCCCUGUGUUGUUUUUGACGACUACACAGUUUACUGCUGUUGCCACAAUACUUCACACACAAAUGGGCUUGAGAUGAUUUGUUGCCUUUUUUUAUUACUAAUAAUCAAUAUCCUAUAGUCCCAUCAUGCACCCAUAUAUGUUAUGAUUUUCUGACACAUUCUAAGGUUUGUAUCAUCCACAACUAAAGUUGCCAAAUAACUCUAAAUCUAGUAUAUUGGACCUGUUUCAAAUGAUCACCUUUAAGCUCAACAUAACCCCGUAGUAUGUGCACUUGCUCCAGAAUGGGAAACAUUUCCUUUUGAUUCUAUUCUUAUCAUACAAUAUUAAAAUAAUGGCACAGAUAUCUAAGCAUAUCUUGUCUGCUCAAUGAACUACAGCCUCGGCUGCCAUUGGCAUGGUGCAUAGCCAGAUAACCUACAGUAGGCCGACUGAUAUUCUGAAAUACAUUUUCUUCAUAUCAAGAUGUAGCUUUAGACCUGCCUAAAAUAAAUAAUGGAUUUAUUGUGAUGGUCUAUAUUAAUUAGACUCAGCAGUUUGUAUACUUGGAGACCUGGAAAUAACAAACUUGUUUAUUUUAAUUAACGGUCAAUUACCGUGAGACCGGCAGUCAUUUGCAUGACAAUAAAAGGGCUGACAAAACGUAAUGACUGCCACAACCCUAGGUGAAGCCACUUAUUUAAAGGGGAAGCCACAACCCUAGGUGAAGCCACUUAUUUAAAGGGGAAGCCACAACCCUAGUUGAAGCCACUUAUUUAAAGGGGAAGCCACAACCCUAGGUGAAGCCACUUAUUUAAAGGGGAAGCCACAACCCUAGGUGAAGCCACUUAUUUAAAGGGGAAGCCGCCUAUUCAUAAAUCUGCCACGACAUCCAUUUCCAAUUUGCUGCUCCAGUAACCACGGUAGCCACAGCCCUACGGCGGGUUGAUACAGCAACAGAGCAUGGGGACCCCCGGUAACCGCAGGAAACACCUCACAAAGUAGUGACAUCAUCGCAUGAAAUAUUAUGGCAUGUAGGUAAUGCAUGGGUAACAGUGAUGCUGUACUAAGAGAAAUGCUCUGAGCAUAGAGAGAGAGAGGGAGAGAGAGAGAGGGCUGGUUAGAGAGAGAGAGAGAGAGGGAGAGGGAGAGAGAGAGAGGGCUGGUUAGAGAGAGAGAGAGAGAGAGAGAGAGAGAGAGAGAGAGAGAGGGGGGGAUACUGUGCUAAGGGAAACAGGGCCUCAUAUCUAAGCUUAGGUGGGGGUAGGGCCUCUGGUCUGAC
Oncorhynchus tshawytscha (Chinook salmon) is the source of this 9534-nucleotide long non-coding RNA. Lineage: Eukaryota; Metazoa; Chordata; Actinopteri; Salmoniformes; Salmonidae. The record is from Ensembl.